CAAAGUCGAUGGGCUCUGCGCAGAGCCGAUUGGCUCUAUACAUGGGAAGUUUGACAAAAUUUGCAAUUAAGUCCUUGAACUUGCAAAAUCUAUCGUCUUGACCUUUAAACUUUAUUUUUCUUGACAAUUAACUCCAAAUUGAUUUUAUAAAGGUAAUUUUGGCUGGAUUAACCUCAAACUCUAACCUUAGGUUUGCUCGUCCAUCUCCC
RNAcentral lists this long non-coding RNA (209 nucleotides) under Ricinus communis (castor bean). RNAcentral's name for it is "long non-coding RNA (RCOM_LNC001550)". Lineage: Eukaryota; Viridiplantae; Streptophyta; Magnoliopsida; Malpighiales; Euphorbiaceae. The record is from RNAcentral.